GAGUUUGAUCGUGGCUCAGGAUGAACGCUGGCGGCGUGCCUAACACAUGCAAGUCGAACGAAGCGCCUGGCCCCGACUUCUUCGGAACGAGGAGCCUUGCGACUGAGUGGCGGACGGGUGAGUAACGCGUGGGCAACCUGCCUUGCACUGGGGGAUAACAGCCAGAAAUGGCUGCUAAUACCGCAUAAGACCGAAGCGCCGCAUGGCGCGGCGGCCAAAGCCCCGGCGGUGCAAGAUGGGCCCCGCGUCUGAUUAGGUAGUUGGCGGGGUAACGGCCCACCAAGCCGACGAUCAGUAGCCGACCUGAGAGGGUGACCGGCCACAUUGGGACUGAGACACGGCCCAGACU
Molecule: ribosomal RNA, 349 nt
Filed under: uncultured bacterium
Lineage: Bacteria
Description: bacterial SSU rRNA
Rfam family: Bacterial small subunit ribosomal RNA
Source: RNAcentral